Molecule: regulatory RNA element, 98 nt
Organism: Clostridium sp. Maddingley MBC34-26
Lineage: Bacteria; Bacillati; Bacillota; Clostridia; Eubacteriales; Clostridiaceae
Rfam family: Purine riboswitch aptamer
About the family: Riboswitches are metabolite binding domains within certain messenger RNAs that serve as precision sensors for their corresponding targets. Allosteric rearrangement of mRNA structure is mediated by ligand binding, and this results in modulation of gene expression.
Source: Rfam
AAUAUAGCACAUUUAAAAACUUGUAUAUACCCUGGAUAUGGCAGGGAGUAUCUACCGGAAACCGUAAAAUUCCGACUAUAAGUGAUUUUGUUAUACGC